Molecule: ribosomal RNA, 726 nt
Filed under: uncultured bacterium
Lineage: Bacteria
Description: bacterial SSU rRNA
Rfam family: Bacterial small subunit ribosomal RNA
Source: RNAcentral
UAACACGUGAGUGACCUGCCUUUUAGACUGGAACAACUUACCGAAAGGUGAGCUAAUGCCGGAUGAGUUAUAUAAGUGCAUGUUUAUAUAGGAACAGUUGGGGAGACCUGACGCUGAAAGAUGGACUCGCGUCCCAUUAGCUAGUUGGUAGGGUAAUGGCCUACCAAGGCGACGAUGGGUAGCCGGCCUGAGAGGGUGGCCGGCCACACUGGGACUGAGACACGGCCCAGACUCCUACGGGAGGCAGCAGUGGGGAAUUUUGCGCAAUGCUCGUAAGAGUGACGCAGCGACGCCGCGUGAAUGACGAAGGCCUUCGGGUCGUAAAGUUCUUUCGACAGGGAAGAAAAUGCCUAUAAGUAACUGUGUAUGUAUUGACGGUACCUGUAUAAGCAGCCCCGGCUAACUCCGUGCCAGCAGCCGCGGUAAUACGGAGGGGGCGAGCGUUGUUCGGAGUGACUGGGCGUAAAGAGCACGUAGGCGGUGUUGUAAGUCAUUAGUCAAAGACUAGAGCUCAACUUUAGUAAGGCUAGUGAUACUAUAAUACUAGAGUAUCAGAGAGGAUUGCAGAAUUCCUGGUGUAGCGGUGAAAUGCGUAGAUAUCAGGAGGAAUACCGUUAGCGAAGGCGGCAAUCUGGCUGGAAACUGACGCUGAGGUGCGAAAGCGUGGGUAGCAAACAGGAUUAGAUACCCUGGUAGUCCACGCUGUAAACGAUGGAUGCUAGGUGU